GCGGGAUUAGUUUAAUGGUAAAACAGCAGAUUUCCAAUCUUCGGUCAAGAGUUCGAUUCUCUUAUCCCGCU
Polynucleobacter necessarius is the source of this 71-nucleotide non-coding RNA. Lineage: Bacteria; Pseudomonadati; Pseudomonadota; Betaproteobacteria; Burkholderiales; Burkholderiaceae. The record is from Rfam.